AUACAUGGACAAAAAUUUACUAUAACAUGAUACAUACGCCACUUUUCUUUAAAACACUUUUAUCAUUGUGAUGUACUUUUGGUUCAUACUUUUUUGUAUUUAGGGUUAAGUUGAAAUUUAAGUCUAUAUAUUUAUCUAGAUUUACAGAACAAUGAAUAUGAAGUGUCUUCUUUUAGUAAGUUCUAAACAUUUUCUUCUAUUAAAGUCACUUUUAUUAUUUAUUUAGUUAUUUAAAUAACUUCUUUAUCCAGGUACAUGGUUGAUGAACGUUGCUGCUUCCCUGUUAAGAAAAAUCCACAUAAUUAACCCGGUUCCAAUUGAGUUACCCGGUAAUUAAAUUUACAUUACCGAACAACUAAUUCAUGUUUAAUUUUAUAAUAUGGUUGACGCACAAAAAAAUAAACAAAAAUUUUUCUGUUUUUUUUUUUGUUUGUUUUUUCUUACAGUCUUACAGUCUUUUACCUUUUUUUGUGCGUUGUUUUUUUUUUCAUGAUACUCAAUGUUAAUUGGCGUAAGAAUUUCUACUUCUUUUCCGCAUUAAUUUCAUUUUUGAAAGACAAGAAUGAAAGGCAAAAGUUUAGUUUACAACCGAAUUAAAAGUAAAUGAGUACACCAGCUCAAAAAGAUUUUUGGAAAACACAAUAUUAGAAAUAGAAGAUAAAAGAAGGUAGAGAUAUAAAUUGUAGAGUUGAUUUUUUUGUGUAAAUACUUAUCGUAAGGUUAAAGUAUAAUCCGAUUUCAUGCUCUUUAAGUUGAAAAAUAAGAACGUAGAGUUCUAUCGUUUAUAAACUAUAAGAAAAGCAUUACAUUUUGAACUAAUGUUUAAUGUUCUAAACUAUUUCAUUUAUUGUAUCAUUAUUCUUUUUUAUAGAUCAAAAUGGUUAGGAGUAGGUAAGAAACGAGGCACGGCAACCAGAACCACAGAGUGCGUGUCAGCAAGGCAAUCUAUGUCUGUUCCGAUGAAGUUUGUACUCCCACAAUAAGGCAAGAGGUCUCCACGGUCAUCCCGUGUUAAUGUGGGAUUCACAGCUGGCAGAAAAAGCAAAGAACUGGGCAAUAUACCUUGUUGAGAAUGAGUGUUUCGACCAUGAGCAUGACAGUUCAUAUGGCGAAAACUUGUACGAAAUAUAUUCGCCAGAAAGGCAUCGUGUUUACAAUGCAGUUUUUGAGCAAUAUAAAAAAAUUAAAGAUUACGAUUUUAAUAAUCCCGAACGGUACGAAAAAGAUUGUCCAGAAUUUUGCGACAUUGGUCAUUUCUCCUAAAUAGUAUGGAAGGAAACCACCAAGGUUGGAUGUUGCGUCGCUUUUGACAAAGUCGCAUAGGACAGUGAUUGUGACUAAAUUUUCCCCUGGACAGGGAUAUGGAUUUACGGAGCAAGAUCCGCACACUUGUAAGUUCUUUAUACAGCGUAUGCGGUAGUAAAUAAUAAAAAUAUCUUACUGGAUAUUUCCACCUGUCUUUGUUCAUGUUGUGUUUCCUAUGUAGACCAUCCAAAGAUUCCAUCAAGUGUUGAAGAGUUCAUUUCAUGCUAUGAUGUGACGCCAACGAUGAAAAGAGUGGACGAUUAUAUGCGUUAAGGAAGUGUGUGAACGCUAAUACUUUUGAAAACUAUAUUAAAAAUUCUUAAAAAAAAGUUAUAUAUGUGUAUUAAACAAGUAACCGUUCUUAACUAAUACAUGUAUAUCUAUUUACCAAAUCUAGUAUGUAUUCAGAGCAUUAAAAUUAUUCUGCUGACACAACAACAUUUUAAACUGCAUAUCCACUAGAGGCGGUAGAACAAAUGUAAUGGUUUUUUGAAAAAAAAGAAUCUGAUAGAGAUAUGCUUCUUUUUUUUAAUCCUGCAUAAUUUUUUUGUUCAAUUUAUACUCGUGUGUUUAUUCUAUUUUUGUCCUAUUACGUUGCUUAACGUACAAUUUUGUAAAAGACCAUAACAUUAAAUUAUAGCAUAAGGUUACACUGUUCUGUUGUAACAUAUUAUUAAAUCAGUGUUUACAGUCAAAACGCGUGACAUUAUAUUAAAAUAUAUGUUCUUUGCUACUUGCUGGGGCCAUCUUAGAAUUUUUUCCCUCGUACUUUAAAGGUUUUGUCCAAUUUUUGUACCUUACUACUUUAUAAAAUCUGUAUCAAAUUGUGUCAAAUAUGGCCGCAUCGAUACUUGAUAUUAUAACCAAUCUUGGCUAUAUUAAAAGCAUACUAGUCGGUGCCACGUGGAUCAAUCCACGUGUUCCCUCUAUUUAUGUCCUUUAUUUACCGCAUUUCGUGUAUUUUGCUUUCGU
Molecule: long non-coding RNA, 2277 nt
Organism: Hydractinia symbiolongicarpus
Lineage: Eukaryota; Metazoa; Cnidaria; Hydrozoa; Anthoathecata; Hydractiniidae
Exons: 4
Source: RefSeq, a predicted model, not a curated record